GUAGUGAUUGUUCAUUGGUAGAAUUCUUACCUCCCAUGUGGGACACCUGGGUUUGAUUCCCAGCCAGUGCA
RNAcentral lists this transfer RNA (71 nucleotides) under Loxodonta africana (African savanna elephant). It matches the Rfam family "tRNA". Rfam says of the family: Transfer RNA (tRNA) molecules are approximately 80 nucleotides in length. Lineage: Eukaryota; Metazoa; Chordata; Mammalia; Proboscidea; Elephantidae. The record is from Rfam by way of RNAcentral.